RNAcentral lists this ribosomal RNA (253 nucleotides) under uncultured bacterium. RNAcentral describes it as "partial 16S ribosomal RNA". It matches the Rfam family "Bacterial small subunit ribosomal RNA", at positions 524 to 776 of the family's 1533-position model. The record is from RNAcentral.
UACGGAGGGGGCUAGCGUUGUUCGGAAUUACUGGGCGUAAAGCGCGCGUAGGCGGACCUGCAAGUCGGGGGUGAAAGCCCGAGGCUCAACCUCGGAACUGCCUUCGAUACUGCGGGUCUCGAGUCCGGGAGAGGUGAGUGGAAUUCCUAGUGUAGAGGUGAAAUGCGUAGAGAUGGGGGAGAACACUCGUGGCGAAGGCGGCCAGCUAGACCAGUUCUGACACUGAGGCGCGACAGCGUGGGGAGCAAACAGG